Molecule: ribosomal RNA, 180 nt
Filed under: uncultured Eubacteriales bacterium
Lineage: Bacteria; Bacillati; Bacillota; Clostridia; Eubacteriales
Description: uncultured Clostridiales bacterium partial 16S ribosomal RNA
Rfam family: Bacterial small subunit ribosomal RNA
Source: RNAcentral
GAAACCGGGAUUAAUACCAAUAAAAUCAUAAUGACACAUGUCAUAACGAUCAAAACUCCGGUGGUCUAAGAUGGACUCGCGUCCCAUUAGCUAGUUGGUAGAGUAAAAGCCUACCAAGGCGACGAUGGGUAGCCGGCCUGAGAGGGUGAACGGCCACAUUGGGACUGAGAUACGGCCCAG